This 470-nucleotide ribosomal RNA is filed under the name uncultured bacterium. Its description in RNAcentral is "SSU rRNA". It matches the Rfam family "Bacterial small subunit ribosomal RNA", at positions 26 to 518 of the family's 1533-position model. The record is from RNAcentral.
AGGACGAACGCUGGCGGCGUGCUUAACACAUGCAAGUCGAGCGGAAAGGCCCUUCGGGGUACUCGAGCGGCGAACGGGUGAGUAACACGUGAGUAAUCUGCCCUUAGCUCUGGGAUAGCUCCGGGAAACCGGGAUUAAUACCAGAUAUGACCACUUUAGACAUCUUUUGUGGUGGAAAGAAUUUCGGCUGGGGAUGAACUCGCGGCCUAUCAGCUUGUUGGUGAGGUAAUGGCUCACCAAGGCGACGACGGGUAGCCGGCCUGAGAGGGCGACCGGCCACACUGGGACUGAGACACGGCCCAGACUCCUACGGGAGGCAGCAGUGGGGAUAUUGCGCAAUGGGCGAAAGCCUGACGCAGCGACGCCGCGUGGGGGAUGAAGGCCUUCGGGUUGUAAACCCCUUUCAGCAGGGACGAAGCGAAGUGACGGUACCUGCAGAGAAGCGCGGCUAACUACGUGCCAGCAGCCGC